This 314-nucleotide ribosomal RNA is filed under the name uncultured bacterium. RNAcentral's name for it is "bacterial SSU rRNA". It matches the Rfam family "Bacterial small subunit ribosomal RNA", at positions 28 to 334 of the family's 1533-position model. The record is from RNAcentral.
GAUGAACGCUAGCUACAGGCUUAACACAUGCAAGUCGAGGGGCAGCAUGAACUUAGCUUGCUAAGUUUGAUGGCGACCGGCGCACGGGUGAGUAACACGUAUCCAACCUGCCGAUGACUCGGGGAUAGCCUUUCGAAAGAAAGAUUAAUACCCGAUGGCAUAGUUCUUCCGCAUGGUAGAACUAUUAAAGAAUUUCGGUCAUCGAUGGGGAUGCGUUCCAUUAGCUUGUGGGCGGGGUAACGGCCCACCAAGGCAGCGAUGGAUAGGGGUUCUGAGAGGAAGGUCCCCCACAUUGGAACUGAGACACGGUCCAA